AUUGGCUCUGAUAAAAUUUUGAUACAAAUGAAUACAAGAAUUGUAUACAUUACAGUGCUAACAAUUCAAUUUUUCAUAUAAAUAAUAUUUCCAAGGGACAUUAUGACAAUUCUUUUGAAAAUAAUUGAAUGUUACUGAUUUUCUAACUUGUUUGAAACAUUUCUGGUGUAUACCUAUGAUUAAAGUUUUAUAAAAAUCUAUACCUAUGAGUAAAGUUUUAUAAAAAUCUAUACCUAUGAUUAAAGUUUUAUAAAAAUCUAUCAGGAUUUGUACAGGUGGGUGCGCUAACAAGAACUGAGGGACAGAAACCCAGAAUUUCUAUGUCCCAAAUAAUGUGUUCCAUGGAGGCUUAAAUUGUCAGACACACAUCUUCAGCAAAAAAUGGCUAAACCAAACUGAUUCUUUGUGUAUUGAAAGGUUGGGUUCACAUGUUAUGAUUAUCACCUGAAUAGUGUAUCUUGUCUUGACUUUUGAUUGAUUGAUCAGUAUUGACUGUCACUUUCCAGCUGCAAUGUUCUGCCAUUUCCUGGCACUUAAUUAAUAUUGGUUGAGAAAGCUGGGGUGCCUGGAAAGAACAAUCAACCUACAUUUCCACUUAGUCAAGAGGAAAAUAUAUCUUUCAAAUAAAAUCUAGAGUGGUUACUGUAUUUAUAGUGGGUUAUAUUGGCUGGUUAAAAAUUUUCGUGGAUAGAACAAAAUCGCAAAAAUAAAUUCGGCCAAUUUAAAAGUGCAAAUGAAAAGGUAUUGAUAAAAGUUUUGAAUCCACUAAAACAAUAACUGCCAAAAUAGUUUGUAUACCUU
RNAcentral lists this long non-coding RNA (801 nucleotides) under Mytilus galloprovincialis (Mediterranean mussel). Lineage: Eukaryota; Metazoa; Mollusca; Bivalvia; Mytilida; Mytilidae. The record is from RNAcentral.